RNAcentral lists this ribosomal RNA (613 nucleotides) under uncultured bacterium. RNAcentral's name for it is "bacterial SSU rRNA". The stretch from base 1 to 524 matches the Rfam family "Bacterial small subunit ribosomal RNA", at positions 338 to 873 of the family's 1533-position model. The record is from RNAcentral.
CCUACGGGAGGCAGCAGUGGGGAAUAUUGCACAAUGGGCGAAAGCCUGAUGCAGCGACGCCGCGCGAGGGAUGACGGCCUUCGGGUUGUAAACCUCUUUCAGCAGGGAAGAAGCGAAAGUGACGGUACCUGCAGAAGAAGCGCCGGCUAACUACGUGCCAGCAGCCGCGGUAAUACGUAGGGCGCAAGCGUUGUCCGGAAUUAUUGGGCGUAAAGAGCUCGUAGGCGGCUUGUCACGUCGGGUGUGAAAGCCCGGGGCUUAACCCCGGGUCUGCAUUCGAUACGGGCUAGCUAGAGUGUGGUAGGGGAGAUCGGAAUUCCUGGUGUAGCGGUGAAAUGCGCAGAUAUCAGGAGGAACACCGGUGGCGAAGGCGGAUCUCUGGGCCAUUACUGACGCUGAGGAGCGAAAGCGUGGGGAGCGAACAGGAUUAGAUACCCUGGUAGUCCACGCCGUAAACGGUGGGAACUAGGUGUUGGCGACAUUCCACGUCGUCGGUGCCGCAGCUACGCAUUAACGUUCCCGUCCGUCGGGUAGGUACGGCCGCGACGACGUAAACUUAAACUAGUAAUUAGACGGCGUGAGACGUGCCGACGGACGACGACGAGGGAGUAGG